UUGAUCUCAAAUCAGGCAGGACUACCCGCUGAACUUAAGCAUAUCAAUAAGCGGAGGAAAAGAAACUAACAAGGAUUCCCCUAGUAACUGCGAGUGAAGCGGGAAAAGCUCAAAUUUAAAAUCUGACAGUUGUUCUGGCUGUCCGAGUUGUAAUCUAGAGAAGUGUUGCCCGCGCUGGACCGUGUACAAGUCUCCUGGAAUGGAGCAUCAUAGAGGGUGAGAAUCCCGUCUUUGACAUGGACUACCAGGGCUUUUGUGGUGCGCUCUCGAAGAGUCGAGUUGUUUGGGAAUGCAGCUCAAAAUGGGUGGUAAAUGCCAUCUAAAGCUAAAUAUUGGCGAGAGACCGAUAGCGAACAAGUACCGUGAGGGAAAGAUGAAAAGAACUUUGGAAAGAGAGUUAAACAGUACGUGAAAUUGCUGAAAGGGAAACGCUUGAAGUCAGUCGCAUCGACUGGAAAUCAACCUUGCUUUUGCUUGGUGUAUUUUCUGGCUUGAUGGGUCAGCAUCAAUUUUGAUUGCUGGAUAAAGGCUUGGGGAAUGUGGCAUCUUAGGAUGUGUUAUAGCCCUUGGUUGCAUACAGCGGUUGGGAUUGAGGAACUCAGCACGCCGCAAGGCCGGGUUUCGACCACGUUUACGUGCUUAGGAUGCUGGCAUAAUGGCUUUAAUCGACCCGUCUUGAAACACGGACCAAGGAGUCUAACAUGCCUGCGAGUGUUUGGGUGGAAAACCCAUGCGCGCAAUGAAAGUGAAAGUUGAGAUCCCUGUCGUGGGGAGCAUCGACGCCCAGACCAGACCUUUUGCGACGGAUCUGCGGUAGAGCAUGUAUGUUGGGACCCGAAAGAUGGUGAACUAUGCCUGAAUAGGGUGAAGCCAGAGGAAACUCUGGUGGAGGCUCGUAGCGAUUCUGACGUGCAAAUCGAUCGUCAAAUUUGGGUAUAGGGGCGAAAGACUAAUCGAACCAUCUAGUAGCUGGUUCCUGCCGAAGUUUCCCUCAGGAUAGCAGAAACUCAUAUCAGAUUUAUGUGGUAAAGCGAAUGAUUAGAGGCCUUGGGGUUGAAACAACCUUAACCUAUUCUCAAACUUUAAAUAUGUAAGAACAAGCCGUCUCUUGACUGGACCGCUUGGCGAUUGAGAGUUUCUAGUGGGCCAUUUUUGGUAAGCAGAACUGGCGAUGCGGGAUGAACCGAACGCGAGGUUAAGGUGCCGGAAUUCACGCUCAUCAGACACCACAAAAGGUGUUAGUACAUCUAGACAGCAGGACGGUGGCCAUGGAAGUCGGAAU
RNAcentral lists this ribosomal RNA (1282 nucleotides) under Mallocybe latispora. Its description in RNAcentral is "eukaryotic LSU rRNA". It matches the Rfam family "Eukaryotic large subunit ribosomal RNA", at positions 1 to 1267 of the family's 3401-position model. The record is from RNAcentral. Lineage: Eukaryota; Fungi; Basidiomycota; Agaricomycetes; Agaricales; Inocybaceae.